RNAcentral lists this ribosomal RNA (460 nucleotides) under uncultured bacterium. RNAcentral's name for it is "partial 16S ribosomal RNA". It matches the Rfam family "Bacterial small subunit ribosomal RNA", at positions 338 to 795 of the family's 1533-position model. The record is from RNAcentral.
CCUACGGGUGGCAGCAGUGAGGAAUAUUGGUCAAUGGACGAGAGUCUGAACCAGCCAAGUAGCGUGAAGGAUGACUGCCCUAUGGGUUGUAAACUUCUUUUAUAUGGGGAUAACAUGUUCCACGUGUGGGAUUUUGUAUGUACCAUACGAAUAAGGACCGGCUAACUCCGUGCCAGCAGCCGCGGUAAUACGGAGGAUCCGAGCGUUAUCCGGAUUUAUUGGGUUUAAAGGGAGCGUAGGCGGAGUGUUAAGUCAGUUGUGAAAGUGUGCGGCUCAACCGUAAAAUUGCAGUUGAAACUGGCAGUCUUGAGUACAGUAGAGGUAGGCGGAAUUCGUGGUGUAGCGGUGAAAUGCUUAGAUAUCACGAAGAACUCCGAUUGCGAAGGCAGUUCACUGGACUGCAACUGACACUGAGGCUCGAAGGUGUGGGUAUCAAACAGGAUUAGAUACCCGAGUAGUC